RNAcentral lists this ribosomal RNA (1379 nucleotides) under uncultured organism. RNAcentral's name for it is "bacterial SSU rRNA". It matches the Rfam family "Bacterial small subunit ribosomal RNA", at positions 21 to 1362 of the family's 1533-position model. The record is from RNAcentral.
GGCUCAGAAUGAACGCUGGCGGCGUGCUUAACACAUGCAAGUCGAACGAGAAAUCUUUAGCUUGCUAGAGAAAGUGAAGUGGCGCACGGGUGAGUAACGCGUGGGUAAUCUGCCUCCGAAUCGGGGAUAACAUUGCGAAAGCGAUGCUAAUACCGGAUAAAAUCUGGUUGGCUUCGGUGAACCGGAUCAAAGGUGGUCUCUUUAUAAAAGCUACCGUUUGGAGAUGAGCUCGCGUACCAUUAGCUAGUUGGUGAGGUAAAGGCUCACCAAGGCGACGAUGGUUAGCUGGUCUGAGAGGAUGAUCAGCCACACCGGAACUGGAACACGGUCCGGACUCCUACGGGAGGCAGCAGUGAGGAAUUUUGCGCAAUGGGGGAAACCCUGACGCAGCAACGCCGCGUGAGUGAUGAAGGCUUUCGGGUCGUAAAGCUCUGUCAGGUGGGAAGAACCCACCAAGUGUUAAGACCACUUGGUGCUGACGGUACCACCGAAGGAAGCACCGGCUAACUCCGUGCCAGCAGCCGCGGUAAUACGGGGGGUGCGAGCGUUAUUCGGAAUCAUUGGGCGUAAAGGGCGCGCAGGCGGUUUUGUAAGUCAGAUGUGAAAUCCCGGGGCUUAACCCCGGAAGUGCAUAUGAAACUAUGAGACUUGAGUAUGGGAGAGGGAAGCGGAAUUCCUGGUGUAGCGGUGAAAUGCGUAGAUAUCAGGAGGAACACCGGUGGCGAAGGCGGCUUCCUGGACCAAUACUGACGCUGAGGCGCGAAGGCGUGGGGAGCGAACAGGAUUAGAUACCCUGGUAGUCCACGCAGUAAACGUUGAUCACUAGGUGUAGCGGGUAUUGACCCCUGCUGUGCCGGAGUUAACGCAUUAAGUGAUCCGNCUGGGGAGUACGAUCGCAAGAUUAAAACUCAAAGGACUUGACGGGGGCCCGCACAAGCGGUGGAGCCUGUGGUUUACUUCGACGCAACGCGAAGAACCGUUACUGGGACUUGACAUCUCGGGAAAUUCGGUUGAAAGACGGGAGUGCCUUUAACGAGGAAUCCGAUGACAGGUGCGGCAUGGCUGUCGUCAGCUCGUGUCGUGAGAUGUUGGGUUAAGUCCCGCAACGAGCGCAACCCGGAUCUUCAGUGACCAUCAGGUGAUGCUGGGGACGUGGGAGAUACUGCCCCGGUUAACGGGGAGGAAGGUGGGGAUGACGUCAAGUCACUCAUGGCCGUUAUGUCCAGGGCGUAGCACACGUGCGACAAUGGUAUGUACAAAGGGAAGCGAUCCCGAGAGGAGGAGCUAAUCCCAAAAAGCAUAUCAAAGUUCGGAUCGGAGUCUGCAACUCGACUCCGUGAAGUUGGAAUCGCUAGUAAUCGCGGAUCAGCAUGCUGCGG